Long non-coding RNA from Sceloporus undulatus (fence lizard), 6940 nucleotides. RefSeq lists it as uncharacterized. The record is from RefSeq and is a predicted model, not a curated record. The transcript has 5 exons. NCBI's taxonomy places the organism in Eukaryota, Metazoa, Chordata, Lepidosauria, Squamata, Phrynosomatidae.
CACUUACACAUCACCAAAACAAAAGAGGACACUGAUUUGCAUAAACAGAAUAUGCUAAUUUAAAAAUUAGAAAGGAUCUUUAAAUAACUUUUAAAAAUUACAAUACAUUUCACCUGAGUGGGAAGGAACUGUGACCAGGUGGCCUGUGCUGACUGCCCUCCCAAGUGCUAAUUGUGGAUGGACAAUUUUAAUGUCACCUCAUACAUGGUUCUUUGUCUUUCAACUAGAUGUGGAAUGGGCAGCCCUUCAAACAGAGGACACCUUCACCAGAGACAUCUUUUGGCAGCACUUCAAACUGAACCAUGGUGGUAGGGGGUCAUGCAACCCUCCAAAUAUUGUUGGAAUGCAAACUUUGGAGAUCUAGCUAGCAUGGCCAGUGGUGGUGAGGAUGGUGAGGAAUAUUGGCAUUUGGUGAGGAUACCAGAUGGUGAUGAAUUCCAGCAUUUGCAACACAAUAUCUGGAAAGCUACAUUUUCCCCACUCUUGAAACAGAAUAUCCUCCCUGUAGAAGAGGACACAUAGCUACACACCACUUCAGUGGUGUAUGUGUGGGAUCAGAUGGAAUUACUCGUGUCCCCAUUUUAACAUUUUUGUUUUAUAAAUGCUGCACUGCAGGAUCAUACCUGUGUGAUGGUAUGACAGGAGCUUGGGGAUGGAGUUGGGGCAUGCAGUUGCCAUGACCCCACUCCACCCCAGUGCUGGCCCUGUACGGCCCCUAAGUGUCUGGACUGCAUUAAAGAAACAGAGUAUUGCAGAGCCAAAACAAUCCAUACUUUAGUUGUUUGGAAUUCAAAUACUAGUAAGACUCUCAAUCAUCCUAUGUGUAGUCUAAGCAUAUUCAUUGUUCCUUGACCUUCAGCUUCUCUGCAGAAGUGUCUCUGGAGUUAUCUUACCUGUCACAAAAUUUGACCUGGGGUCAUUGUCUGAAACUGUGCAAGGCACUAUUGAUCUGUGGCAUGUCUCCUUGCAGAACACAUUUGUAUCUGAAAGCAGCUCUUUAACAGAAUUAUUCACUCAGCAUUACCCCCUCUCCCUUAUGUUGCUAAUAUUUCUGUGGUAUCUGUUGGAAUAUGAUCCAGAGGGAAAAUAUCCAGAUGUGGGUGAAAGGUGAUAAGGUAACUAUAGGUCACCUGCAGCCAUGGUGACUAAGCAUUUGGGCUGUGCUGAGUCACAGGAUGUGCUGUCAUAGUGAUGUCAUGAGCUGGAAACUAAAGCAAAGUGCUGCAAAAGUGCUGCAAAAGCACUGAGUCACCCUUCCUGGGGGACUGGGUUUAAGGUGACACACCAGGAAGAGGCUGGACUAAGUGGCCGCAUGGCACUGGUGUAUAUAAGAGUGGAGCUUCAUUGUACAGUGUGGGUUGAUGGUGUUGUGGUGUUAUGCAAGUAGCUUUGUCGGAGAAGACAAACUUGUCCAUAGAGCAACUGAAGAUUAAAGGGCCUCGUUAUGAGACAUAUGGCUUGAGUCUCCUUUAUCGGCUUCUGGAGGAAUUUUUUGAGUGCUUGUUGUACCCAACUCUACCUAGUCUCCAUUGUGUCAUAGCAUCAGAAUUCAAAUGCAAGAAUCUGCUGGGAUUUCUCUAGCAUCUCUACUGAUGAAGCAAACAUAACAGAGGAUGUAGAGCCUUUCUAAGGCAGUAUGCCCAACCAUGGAAUGUAACAUGGAGACGUGGGAAGUGGUAAUGGGCAGAGUCUAGAAAUGCUGGAAAGAUUGUCCAGAUACUGCAUUUUAUGGAUUGCACUUCUCAGAUUUAGAAGAUUCUCAAAGGAGGCUAGUCCAGAGGGCCUCAGAGCCUGACACUAAAAAAGAAACUGAAGAGAAUGCGUUCAGUUGGAGACAAAGGUCCUCUGGAAAGACUUAGAAGAAUGCUGAAGAAACCAUGACAUUAACAAAGCUACAGGAACAAAACACAUUUCUCCUCUAUAAACAGGCUGCUGAGAUGAUUUUGCACCUUCUUUCAUGAAAUGUGGGAGGAAUAAUGCAGCCUUUUGAUGGCAAAUUUCCUUUUGAGAAGAAAGAACUGGAGUCUUAAUACAUGGAAGUCAACAUUGCAAAAGGUGAAGUUUGAGAAGGACAUUUGAGAUUAAAAAGGGAUGAACAGAAGAGACCAGUCAAUAUGACAGCUGAUGAAAACUAGUACAUAGUCCAGUAUCCAACAAGAAAGAUCAUCCUCUGAUCUGUUUUAAAUCCACUUUUGUUUUACAAAAACAAUUCAAAAUUGUAAUAGAACAUAUCCCCACAAUGAGUGUACCCCUUACCAUGCAUUUCUCAAGAAAUUUCUCUGCUCCUAAUAUGUAACACUCUUACUUUAACACAGUGGGCACAUAUUUUACAUGGUACUCAUUUGAUGGUGAAAUAUAUUGUCUUGCCAGUAGUGAUGUAUCUAGUAGUUAAAUACAAGGGUGACCUUUUCAGGAUGAAUUGGCCAUUUCAGGCAGCCAACUUGGAAUGUCAUGAAAGGGCAGAAAUUUCUUAGUUUUUUAAAUAAAUUACAAUUAAAUCUGUCCUAAGAAAGUGGAGAGAUGCUUGUGAGAUUUCUUGCUCAGAUGCCAAAGUAAUUUGGCUUAUUAGGAUAUUAUGCAACUAGCCCUGGGAGGUGUAUUUCUGCCUCAGGCAGCAAAAUGUCUUCAGCUAGUCCUGGUUAUAUACCAACUAAGGGAAUUAUAUAUUUAAGGCAAGCAUGGCAUUCCUCAGUCCAGUUGGUGAGUCUGUGGAUGUUUAAAUACGGAUGUUCCAGGACCAGCCAUAUAACACCUAUAUUGCAAGACCUACAUUGGCCGCCCAUUCACUUCUGGGCACAAUACAAGGUGUUGGUAAUGACCUUUAAAGCCCUAAAUGGCUUGGGCCCAGGGUACUUGGAGGACCGCCUCUCCCCAUACAGUCCGCCCCGCACUCUCAGAUCGGGCGAAAAACAUCUUUUAAGAGUUCCUAAGACAAGGUAUGUGUCUUCUUCUCAAAGGGCUUUCUCCAUCAUGGCCCCUCAGACCUGGAACUCUUUGCCCGACGAGCUCCACUCAGCAACCUCUCUAGAUCUAAUUUGAAGACCUUUCUUUUCCAUCAAGCCUUCCCCAAUACCCUAAUACCAUCCUUUCUCUCCCUUGUUGCAUAUUGUUUGAUCCAGCUAUUUUUGUUGUACGGUUUUAAUUGGUUUUAGAUUGUGAAUGAUUGUAAGGAAUGUUUUUAGAUUAUUCUGCAUUGUUUUAAUUGCUAUGGGUGGGUUUUUUGUAUUGUUGGGAUAUGGGUUGUUAUAUUGUCUUUGAUGGAGAAGUUGUAAACCGCUGUGAUCUGCAAGAAAUAGCAGUAUAGAAAUGAAAUUUCAUUCAUCAUUCAUUCAAGUAUGGCAAUUGGCUGCCUAUUUAAUUUGGUUGAAAUGCCUGCAUAAAGAUGGAGCAAGAGCUCCAGAUGGACUGAAGAAUGUCAUGCUUGACUUAGUCCAAUAGAAAUGUUACUAUUUUGAACUACAGUCAGCCCACCAUAUCCAUGGAUUCUUUAUCCACAGAUUCAAGCAUCUAUAGCAUGAAAAUAUUCAACAAAUAUAAAAAAAUUAUAAAUAGCACACCUUGAUUUUUCCAUUUGCAUAUCAUUUUACUACACCACUGUAUUUAAUGGAACUUGAACAUCCACAGAUUUUGGUAUCCAUGGGUGGUCCUAGAACUAAACUCUAGCAGGUACCAAGGCCCACUGUACAUCCCUAAAUAUAAUGGUUCCCAAACUUUGGUCCUCCAAUGUUUUUGGAUUUCAGCUCCCAGAAUUCCUGGCUGUUAGCUAAGCUGGCUAGGGUUUCUGGGAGUUAAGGCCCAAAACACCUAGAAGAACAAUAUUUGUGAAUGACUGCUUUAAUCAUUGCUGUUAGAUUCAGAAAUCAUGAUGUAACUGUAUGAGGGCCAUCACAGAACUGUACCCUAUUCUUCAGUGCUGACUACCUCUGACAGGUAUUGCAUUCUGUGUCAGCAGGGCAGUGAAUCUGCUCCAGGUUCUAGCUCAAACUUUAAAGGAGCCAUCCAAGAUGUAGAACAGUAGCCCACAAAUAGUCUGACAUCUUAGAUAUCUGUCAGACUAAAACCUAGAACAAACUAAGACCCACAGAGGCAGAAGCCACUGUUGAGCAUGAAGUGUGUAGCAGAGUAUCAACACAAAACCAGUAGGCAUGAUUGAAGACACAGUAUAGCCAUCCAGAUUGUACUACGUUGUUGUACUACGACUUCUCUAAUUUCCAAGAUGUAUACUAGCUGGAAAAUGGGAAUUGUUGACUAAGACAUUUGGAGGAUGCCAGGUUGUGAUGUUUGAUAUGAAGAAUUCUUAGGUUGAGAGAAAAGAACAGCUAGGAAACGUACCUGCAUUUGUGAACAAAGUUAUCACAGUCUUUCUCAGAGGAUGGCAUUUGUCGUUUAUGCAAGACAGUGCCAAGCUAUUCUCCUUAUGACUUUUUCAAUAUUCAUUUUUAAUGCCACCUAACCUUGAGUAGCCUUUCAGGAAAUAACCUAAAUAAAUCACAAAGAAGACCAUUCAUUCUUUUAAAACUGCCAGAAUUGUUCUUGCUGAAAUGAAAUUUUAUCUCUACACUAGGAGAUGAAGUUCACAAGAGGCUAUUUCUGAGGUAUUUGAACACUUCUAGAAGGAUUAUCUGAGGUGACUUUGAGAUGCAGUGGUAUCUUUGCACCAGCUGUUCUUUGCUAAACUCUCCUAGAGGCAUUGUGAGGAAGACAUUUAGUAGGUAUUUAUUUGAGCCCCAAUUCUUUAUUGCAUUUGCAGCUGUCAGGUAACACAAAUUAUUCAUCCUAGUCUUUUUCUAGACAUGUUGACAUUGUGGGCCAAAUUGUUGCUUUAGCUGGGUUGGGUGAAAUCAUAAUCUAUCAUUACAUAGUUGCAAGCCAGGCAUCUCCCUCCCCCUUUCAGGCCUGAAAAUCAUUUUUCAUUGAACUCCCCCCACCCCUGUCUAUUUUCUUUAUAGCACUGAAACAAUCUCCAGAUAUUUACCCAUCCUCUGGUACCCAAACACCUACUAAGCACCAGUACAGAUCUGAUAGCACCAUGCCAGUAGACCUUUCCCUGGCAUGUUCAGUGCCUUUAAGGCUAAAAAAAAUCCCACAUCUCCUUUCUCAUCUUUUUAAUUUUGAAAUUGUGUUGUUAAUGAAUCUUCCAAAUACAUAGGAAAGAGUUAACAUCAAAUUCUAAUGAUAAAUAUUAGCUCCUCCUUUCAGCCUACUGUGUUCACCCUGGUCCUGUAUAAACUACUUUCUCUGCCUCAAGGCAAAGAACCUUACUUUGGGGAGGUAAGCAGAGUAUCCCCUGCAGCACAAUGAAUCUUUCUUGUCAGAAAAAAUGAUAAUGCAUGGAAAAUUCUCUAAGGCCUUCAAGGGCCUGGAACUAGCACUUAGAAUGUUAAGUUUGAAAAUUAAUUUGAUCAUGUAAAGCAUUAGAAAUUGAGAGAUAAAUGCAUCACCACAAAUUCAAAUAACUGAAAUAGUCUGAUUAUUUGAAUUACCAUCAGUUAACUUGUGUUUUAAAACAUUAGUGGAUUUACAGAGGAUGGCAUGGAAAAUUUUACCAUUGAUUCUCAGUGUAUGUUUUGUUAUUGGUAUUGCUAAAAGUGCUUUUUUUUUCAUUUUAAAGUCACCUUCCUCCAAUGUGGAAUUGUUCCCCAAGAUGGAUGAUAUAUACAAACCUUGGCUGGGGAUGGUGAGACUUAGGGGCAGUACAGAAUGGCACUUUGUGCCGGCUUGACUGCGAACUAGGGCUGUGGUAGAGCGGAACGUUCACAUGCUCCCAAACCUUACUAUGCUCCCUGGGCACCAUCUUGGCACAUGCCCAUCCAUACGAGGCGUGUCAUGAUGAUGCACGUGUGUCACAGCACCCAAAUGGCGCUGGCUGGAAGAGGCGUCAUGAUGAUGCAUGAGUGCCACUAUGGCACCCCUUCCAGGAAGCUGCUUAUAGCAGCUUCUGUUUGCUCCCAAGAGGGAGCGGAUCAUUGCUGCGGUGUGCAGUUGCCACAGCAACAAUCAGGGGCAAACAGGGGCAGUGUUUAGCUAUUCGUCUGUUGAGCCCCUAAGUUCAACACUUCUGGAAAUUGUCAGGUUAGAAAAACAUAAAAAUAAUUAACCAAGUUGCCUAGCAAAAGUUGCCUAGCACUGUUUGGGGGACAAUCAAUAGUCUAAGGGAGUCAAUGCAUUCACCCCAAAUAAUAAUAGAUAACAUUAUUUAUUGAAGAAUAAUAUACAACAGUAUUAUUCAUUCAUCAUUAUUACAAUAUCUAAUAGAAAGCAGAAUAGAGAGUAUAAUUAAAGAGAAUCACAGCACAAACACCACUUCCCAGAAAGACACACAAAACACUGGGGAAAGGCAUCAGACUUCCAGGCCUAAAUGGCCAGACAUUCUGUAAGUCCCUUCACCAAAAAAUAGAAAGAAAGAAAGAAAGAAAGAAAGAAAGAAAGAAAGAAAGAAAGAAAUCCUAUCAAACUGGGACUCCAUUUUUUUAUUCUCAAUUUUUCUUCAGUCCCAGAUCUUCAGUACCUUCAGAGCCAUUCUGCUGGGUUUUGCUGCCUCACAGUAGAGCCAUGUAAUGAAUUUCUUCCAGUCCUAAUACUUCAUCUUCUCUGACCUUCCUGUCUUAAUGAAUCUUCCACAUGAAGAACCAUUUAACAAAUACUGCAGACUGGGACAGCCAGAAAAAUCAGCAGUAGCAGAACAUGUUACAAAACAUCCUGGGCAUAAAAUACUGUUUGAAAAAACUGAAAUUCUGGACCAUGCCAGCCAGUGCCAUGUCAGGAUGCACAGGGAAGCCAUUGAAAUCCACAAACAUUUGGAUAAUUUCGACUGGAAAGUAGAACCCUUAAAGUGAACAAAAUUUGGCUACCAGUCCUGAGGAAUAGCAAAAUAAGGACUCAGCAAAUGCAAAUGGGAAACCAUUCAGAGUCAGGGGCUUUCCCAGCAGAUAAUGAUCAC